AGAAGAGGCAGGCAGUCGCUGCGCCGGUUCAUCACGGUUGUUGAUCAUGGUGACUUGGCGGAGAGGAAAGUCCGGGCUCCACAGGAGACGGCGGUGGAUAACGUCCACCAUCCGCGAGGGUCGGGAAAGUGCCACAGAAAAGAUACCGCCUGGAAAGUUCGCUUCCCGGGUAAGGGUGAAAUGGUGCGGUAAGAGCGCACCGCGGUUCGGGUGACCGAACUGGCAGGGUAAACCCCGCCGGGAGCAAGACCAAGCAGAGCGGAAGGCGGACUCGUGCCGCUUCAGACCUCUCCGGUCUGGAACCACCGCUCGGGUCGGUUGCUGGAGGCUGUUGGCAACAACAGUCCUAGAGAAAUGACUGUCCACGACAGAACCCGGCUUACGCAGCUUCUCCAG
RNAcentral lists this RNase P RNA (396 nucleotides) under Planctomyces sp. RNAcentral's name for it is "RNase P RNA component class A". It matches the Rfam family "Bacterial RNase P class A". From Rfam's summary of the family: Ribonuclease P (RNase P) is a ubiquitous endoribonuclease, found in archaea, bacteria and eukarya as well as chloroplasts and mitochondria. Its best characterised activity is the generation of mature 5'-ends of tRNAs by cleaving the 5'-leader elements of precursor-tRNAs. Lineage: Bacteria; Pseudomonadati; Planctomycetota; Planctomycetia; Planctomycetales; Planctomycetaceae. The record is from RNAcentral.